Long non-coding RNA from Bos taurus (domestic cattle), 2717 nucleotides. The record is from Ensembl. Lineage: Eukaryota; Metazoa; Chordata; Mammalia; Artiodactyla; Bovidae.
UGCAGGUCCCAGCCUGACCUGGCAGGAGGGCCUGGAAGGAACCAGGUCAGAGGCCUGGCAGGGCUGACUCGACGUUGAGCCAGGAGCUAAAGAUAUGGCCCUGGUGGUUGUGAGCAGUCCAAGUCCUCAGGCAGCAGCUCUCAACCCUGGCAGGUGGUACAGAGACCAUGCGGGAACUUGAAGAGGAGAUUGGAGUGCUUCAAAAGGCGUUCUAUCUGGGGGAGAAAUGGGUUCCCUGAAGAACUGAUGCUUUCAAACUGUGGUGCUGGAGAAGACUCUUGAGAGUCCCUUGGACUGCAGGGAGAGCAACCCAGUCAAUCCUAUAGGAAACCAACCCUGAAUAUUCAUUGGAAGGACUGAUGCUGAAGCUCCAAGACUUUGGCCACCUGAUAUGAAGAGCCGACUCACUGAAAAAGAUCUGAUGCUAGGAAAGAUUGAGGGCAAGAGGAGAAGGGGACGACAAAGGAUGAGAUGGUUGGAUGGCCUCGUCGCCUCAACGGACAUGAGUUUGAGCAAACUCCAGGAGAUGGUGAAGGACAGGGAAGCCUGGCAUGCUGCAGUCCAUUGAGUUGCAAAGAGUCAGACAUGACUGGGUGACUGAACGAUAGCAACGACGACAAAGGGGGGAACUGAGCGCAUGGCAGGGAACACAUUUGGGGGUGGCUGGGGUGUGGGCUCUGGGCUGGUUGGUUUGUAUUUGAGAGGCACAUUUGUGGGUUUGUGGUUGGAACCUCUAGGAACUGGCUAGUCCACGGAAGGGUCAGAGAGGCCCCAGAUGUCAAAGCUAAAACACAGACCUGAUUAAUGUAAGACUUGGUUAAUCCAGGAUGGUUCGCAGAGAAAUGGGCAGUGGGGAGUGGUGUUGGCUCUGAGCUUCAGAUCCAUUUUAAAGUCUCUCUCCUAAAAGCACUGUCUGGUCUAUAAAUUAUGCGCUGGGGUGUCACUGCCUCUUGUCCUCCAAGCUCAGCCAGUCUCUCCGAUGCCAGAUUAGGGGUAUCCCCUUCCUUUUCCUCUAUAGGUGAGGAAGGGGGUCCCUUGCUCAGGGUUCAUGGACUGAGACCAGCUGUUGCCAUGCGAGGUCAUAGACCCCUUACAAGCCCUCAGGGGACAAGUGUAACAGUGUGGGGUGUGCUGGGGCAGGGGGGUGACCAGAGCCACAUGGAAGGUACCUCCUGACGGGACACCAAGGAAUCUCUUCGUGUGAUUCACUGCACCAGAGCCUUCCUUCCAGCUGCCAAAGCCUGCGGAGCCCGCCUGUGACAGCCUGCCUGGGGGGCUGGAGUGUCCCGAAGACGACAAAUCAAAGCUGGCUCAGCCCGAAGCCUGCAUGCCUUUUGGGAGGGCUGGCAGGUGCCGUGCCCAGCCACACCAUCUAGACAACCUGGACCCAUAGGUGUGAUGGGAACCGCGUUGUUCCAGGCCACACGUGUGCAGACCAGUGUCCCACACUGUAUAGCGUCAUCAGGCACAGACUCUGAGAACGGAAAGGAACCUUCGAGCUUGUUGACGGAAUGAGUGAGACUCCCCUGGUGGCACAGUGGGUAAGAAGCUGCCUGCCAAUGCAGGGGAAAUGGGUUCGAUCCCUGAUCUGGGAAGAUUCCACAUGCCGCGGAGCAACUGAACCUGUGUGCCACAACUAUUGAACUUGUCCUCUGGAUCCUGGGAACUGCAACUACUGAGCCCAUGCACCACAGCUACUGAAGCCCGUGCACCCGAGAGCCUGUGCUCUGCAACAAGAGGAGCCACUGCAAUGAGAAGCCUGUGUGCCACAACUGGAGAGGAGCCCCUGCUCACUGCAACUAAAGAAAGCCCUCACAAAGCACCGAAGACCCAGCACAACCCAAAAUAAAUGAAUAAAUAAAAUUAUAUAGAAAAGAAUGAGUGGGUCUAUGGGGAUACUAUAGCAGAGGCUGUCCCAUUAAACUGGGGACCAGUAGCCCAUGUUGUAAUACACAUCACAGUGGCCAAGCCACAGCAUCCUUGCCUGCAGCUCCCCUCUCAUCACCUCCAACCUCUGCCUCCACAUCAUUGUAAGGAAGGAAGAAAAGGGAGGUGGGGGGGAAUCUUGCUGCUAGGUUUGCAGAGGAUGCUGCUGAUUUCUGAACCAGAACGGACUUUGAAAAGUCCUCCUGAGUCUAAAAAGAUGAAGACUCAUUGCUUCAACCCUUGCAGUAAACAUCCUGGGUAACCUUCACCUCAAACCUCAGAGGUUUCGAGAUGGCACAGAACAUGCUGUGCCGUGUUUAUUUCCCAUCACUUGGUGGAGAAACUCUGCACGGGAAGGAGGAGGCAGAAAUGAAGCCCUGGAGGUACUGCAGGGUGGGUUCCAGACCUCCGCAAUAAUGUGAAUCUCGCAAUAAAGUGAGUCACGUGGAUUUUUUUUUUUUUGGUUUCGCAGUGUAUAUAAAAGUGUAAUACACUCUACUGUAACCUGUUAAGCAUGCAAUAACAUUAUGUCUAAAAAAAAGUACAUCCCUUCACUGAAAAAUACUUUCUUGCUAAAAAAUGCUAACCAUCAUGUGAGCCUUCAGUGGGUCAUCACUUUUUUGCAAUAGUCCUGUCAAAGAUCACCAUCACAACUGUAAUACUAAUGAAAAAUGUGAAAUACUUGUGGAGAAUGGCCAAAAUGUGAAACAGACACAAGUGAGCAAAUGCUAUUGGAAAAGUGGCACCCCUAGACGUGUCCGAACCCAGGUUGCUGCAAACCUUCAAUGUGU